Molecule: ribosomal RNA, 497 nt
Filed under: Clonostachys rosea
Lineage: Eukaryota; Fungi; Ascomycota; Sordariomycetes; Hypocreales; Bionectriaceae
Description: eukaryotic LSU rRNA
Rfam family: 5.8S ribosomal RNA (bases 127-280)
Source: RNAcentral
AUACCUACUGUUGCUUCGGCGGGAUUGCCCCGGGCGCCUCGUGUGCCCCGGAUCAGGCGCCCGCCUAGGAAACUUAACUCUUGUUUUAUUUUGGAAUCUUCUGAGUAGUUUUUACAAAUAAAUAAAAACUUUCAACAACGGAUCUCUUGGUUCUGGCAUCGAUGAAGAACGCAGCGAAAUGCGAUAAGUAAUGUGAAUUGCAGAAUUCAGUGAAUCAUCGAAUCUUUGAACGCACAUUGCGCCCGCCAGUAUUCUGGCGGGCAUGCCUGUCUGAGCGUCAUUUCAACCCUCAUGCCCCUAGGGCGUGGUGUUGGGGAUCGGCCAAAGCCCGCGAGGGACGGCCGGCCCCUAAAUCUAGUGGCGGACCCGUCGUGGCCUCCUCUGCGAAGUAGUGAUAUUCCGCAUCGGAGAGCGAUGAGCCCCUGCCGUUAAACCCCCAACUUUCCAAGGUUGACCUCAGAUCAGGUAGGAAUACCCGCUGAACUUAAGCAUAUCAA